AUGCAGACACUGUUAAAAUACAACUGACGUGUUUUAUUGUCGUUCCCCUGCUUAAAGCACUUGAUGCAUAACUAUCUCUGUAACUCCACUCCGUAGUAAGACAGAGACGCUUGGCUUCAAACAU
RNAcentral lists this small nucleolar RNA (124 nucleotides) under Colobus angolensis palliatus. RNAcentral describes it as "Small nucleolar RNA SNORA63 (ENSCANG00000014587.1)". Lineage: Eukaryota; Metazoa; Chordata; Mammalia; Primates; Cercopithecidae. The record is from RNAcentral.